UUGAAUUUGACUUUUGAGUCAAAAGGCUUAAAUAUAUUUAUAGGACGAGAAGACCCUAUAGAAUUUUAUAUUUUUWUUUUAAUAAUUUAUUUGUUUAUGAUUAAAUUUUUUUUAUAAAAAUAUUUUGUUGGGGCGAUGGGAAGAUUUUUUUAACUCU
Molecule: ribosomal RNA, 157 nt
Filed under: Belostoma angustum
Lineage: Eukaryota; Metazoa; Arthropoda; Insecta; Hemiptera; Belostomatidae
Description: partial large subunit ribosomal RNA
Source: RNAcentral